Long non-coding RNA from Stomoxys calcitrans (stable fly), 549 nucleotides. RefSeq lists it as uncharacterized. Lineage: Eukaryota; Metazoa; Arthropoda; Insecta; Diptera; Muscidae. The record is from RefSeq and is a predicted model, not a curated record. The transcript has 2 exons.
UAAUAUCAUUGAACCCAUUCUAUGUAACCAACUCUUGUUAGUUAUAAGUCGUACAAAUUUCUUUACUAAGUGAUGUCAUUGAUAUGAGAUAAGGAUCCUCGCUGUUUCUAAACGGUAUGUUCAUGGUGGACUUCGCAUACUGCCAUUUCCAUUCCUUGGGGAGGAUCCGGGAAAUUAUUUUAACGGAUGAUUUCGCCAGCGGGCAAUUCACAUGCGUUUUUUCUCUAUUAAAUGAGCUAAUAUCAAUAAAAUGGUGAACGAAUCGUUAACGAACAUGUUAGUAGAUUUGAAGAUGAAACGUAAUUGGAACACUGUCAUUCCAAGGAACAAGAAGUGUAUAUUCAAGGUCCGAACGUCGGUAUAUUUCUUUUCGGAUGACUCGCAAAAAAGCAGUACGCAACAGCAGUUAUAAAAAUCUUAUAAUUUUAUUCAACAAAAAAUUGUUUAAUUACGGAAGUUUGAAAAUUGUUUUAUAACAAUACCAUGCUAAAAUGACAACCAACAAAAAAAAAAAAAAAAAAAGAAACACCACUUUGCUACAAAUCUAAU